This 492-nucleotide ribosomal RNA is filed under the name uncultured bacterium. Its description in RNAcentral is "partial 16S ribosomal RNA". It matches the Rfam family "Bacterial small subunit ribosomal RNA", at positions 29 to 507 of the family's 1533-position model. The record is from RNAcentral.
AGUGAACGCUGGCGGUAGGCCUAACACAUGCAAGUCGAACGGCAGCACAGUAAGAGCUUGCUCUGACGGGUGGCGAGUGGCGGACGGGUGAGGAAUACAUCGGAAUCUACUUUUUCGGGGGGGAUAACGUAGGGAAACUUACUCUAAUACCGCAGACGACCUACGGGUGAAAGCAGGGGAUCUUCGGACCUUGCGCGAUUGAAUGAGCCGAUGCCGGAUUAGCUAGUUGGCGGGGUAAAGGCCCACCAAGGCGACGAUCCGUAGCUGGUCUGAGAGGAUGAUCAGCCACACUGGAACUGAGACACGGUCCAGACUCCUACGGGAGGCAGCAGUGGGGAAUAUUGGACAAUGGGCGCAAGCCUGAUCCAGCCAUACCGCGUGGGUGAAGAAGGCCUUCGGGUUGUAAAGCCCUUUUGUUGGGAAAGAAAAGCAGCAGGUUAAUACCCCGCUGUUCUGACGGUACCCAAAGAAUAAGCACCGGCUAACUUCGUG